Molecule: long non-coding RNA, 485 nt
Organism: Mastomys coucha (southern multimammate mouse)
Lineage: Eukaryota; Metazoa; Chordata; Mammalia; Rodentia; Muridae
Exons: 2
Source: RefSeq, a predicted model, not a curated record
UGGAGUUCUAUGGUCCUUCUGUGCAUGUGUCCUCCCCUUGCCAGCUGAGCAUCUCCUGAGAUCAGGGUGGGCAGAGUAAGUCCUCUGUGCCCAGAAGAACCUAGAGUGGCCUUGGUACCUAAGUUCCAGGCUGUCCCUUCCCGACAGCCAGCGCCACUUGCCUGCUAGGCCUUUCCAGGAAAAGAUCAGCCUUUAGCAUCAGCCCAUAGGAGGAACUGGAAGUACGAAGAGCCCAGAGCCUAGAGCCUGACACUACAAUGAUUCACACCUCUCCAGGCUCCUUCGCCUCCUUAGGAUCGUGGUAAACAGACAAGCCCCAUGGCCACACUCCAGGCAGCAUCGGGGGACAGGGUUUCUCCAAACUGAACAGACCAACGAGCAAGAAAGAUGUCCUACUCUGAAACAGUCAUGCAAAUCAAUAUGGGCUGAAUAUGAAUGCACAUCACGUGAUAAUCACCGUGUUCCUCUCAGACUUGACAAUGAGA